UGGGGGAUAUUGCACAAUGGGCGAAAGCCUGAUGCAGCGACGCCGUGUGGGGGAUGAAGGCCUUCGGGUUGUAAACUUCUUUUGCGCUGAACAAGGCAUGCCUUUGGGGUGUGUUGAGUGUAGGGGUUGAUUAGCGCCGGCUAACUACGUGCCAGCAGCCGCGGUAAUACGUAGGGCGCGAGUGUUGUCCGGAAUUAUUGGGCGUAAAGGGCUUGUAGGUGGCUGGUUGCGUCUGUCGUGAAAGCUCAUGGCUUAAAUGUGGGUUUGCGGUGGGUACGGGCUGGCUUGAGUGCAGUAGGGGAGGCUGGAAUUCCUGGUGUAGCGGUGGAAUGCGCAGAUAUCAGGAGGAAUACCGGUGGCGAAGGCGGGUCUCUGGGCUGUUACUGACGCUGAGGAGCGAAAGCGUGGGGAGCGAACAGG
RNAcentral lists this ribosomal RNA (420 nucleotides) under Fusobacteriota bacterium. RNAcentral describes it as "Fusobacteria bacterium partial 16S ribosomal RNA". It matches the Rfam family "Bacterial small subunit ribosomal RNA", at positions 355 to 776 of the family's 1533-position model. Lineage: Bacteria; Fusobacteriati; Fusobacteriota. The record is from RNAcentral.